RNAcentral lists this transfer RNA (62 nucleotides) under Catoscopium nigritum. RNAcentral describes it as "partial tRNA-Leu". It matches the Rfam family "tRNA", at positions 22 to 71 of the family's 71-position model. Rfam says of the family: Transfer RNA (tRNA) molecules are approximately 80 nucleotides in length. Their secondary structure includes four short double-helical elements and three loops (D, anti-codon, and T loops). Lineage: Eukaryota; Viridiplantae; Streptophyta; Bryopsida; Bryales; Catoscopiaceae. RNAcentral also lists the same sequence under 1 other name. The record is from RNAcentral.
CGCUGCGGACUUAAAAUCCGUUGGCUUUAUUGACCGUGAGGGUUCAAGUCCCUCUACCCCCA